This is a long non-coding RNA of Daphnia pulicaria, 493 nucleotides long. RefSeq lists it as uncharacterized. NCBI's taxonomy places the organism in Eukaryota, Metazoa, Arthropoda, Branchiopoda, Diplostraca, Daphniidae. The transcript is spliced from 3 exons. The record is from RefSeq and is a predicted model, not a curated record.
UACUCAAUGAAUGAAGUGACAACCACGUUUGAAAUCACUUGAACAUCAGCAACGAGACAAUCAAGGUCUACUGCAACUAAAGUUAAAAUCGUUUUUGAGAUUUGUUACAUGUUUUACAUUCUGUUAAUUUCGUUAAGUUAAUUGAAGGGGUGCACAAGUUUUCUUUAGUUAUUUAAGUACUUGAUUUCUACGUGAUUCACAUUGUUUCCUAUUAUGUCACCGCCAUGCUUCCUGAACGUGAUGAUUCAGUUGUGGGAGAUGUAACUUCAUGAAACAAGCUCUGGAGAUUUGACAUGGUUGUGCGUCUACCUGUCUCAUGCUGUGAAGAAAAAUGUAGAGGUGUGUAUCAUUUUCAAUUCUAACUCGUUUUCUUGUACAAAGUGAUGAUUUGUUAUCCCUGUCAUACAAAAUGUUGGUGACGUCUUAACAAUGGUAACUGUAAAAUUCUGAUAAUGUUAAAGUUAAAAGCGGUCAUACUCUUGUGUUUUUUUUU